This 264-nucleotide ribosomal RNA is filed under the name Pseudomonas fragi. RNAcentral's name for it is "partial 16S ribosomal RNA". It matches the Rfam family "Bacterial small subunit ribosomal RNA", at positions 55 to 324 of the family's 1533-position model. The record is from RNAcentral. Lineage: Bacteria; Pseudomonadati; Pseudomonadota; Gammaproteobacteria; Pseudomonadales; Pseudomonadaceae.
AUGCAAGUCGAGCGGUAGGAGGUGCUUGCACCUCUUGAGAGCGGCGGACGGGUGAGUAAUACCUAGGAAUCUGCCUGAUAGUGGGGGAUAACGUUCGGAAACGGACGCUAAUACCGCAUACGUCUACGGGAGAAAGCAGGGGACUUCGGGCCUUGCGCUAUCAGAUGAGCCUAGGUCGGAUUAGCUAGUUGGUGAGGUAAUGGCUCACCAAGGCUACGAUCCGUAACUGGUCUGAGAGGAUGAUCAGUCACACUGGAACUGAGA